CAAUAGCGUAUAUUAAAGUUGUUGCAGUUAAAAAGCUCGUAGUUGGAUUUCUGGUGGGAGCGAUCGGUCUGGCGCUUAGCGCGAGUACUUGCAUCGUCUCCGGCCAUCCUUGGGGAGAGUCUGUCUGGCAUUAGGUUGUCGGGCAGAGGAUCCUCAUCGUUUACUGUGAAAAAAUUAGAGUGUUCAAGCAGGCUUAUGCCGUUGAAUAUAUUAGCAUGGAAUAAUAAGAUAGGACUUUGGUACUAUUUUGUUGGUUUGCGCACCAAAGUAAUGAUUAAUAGGGACAGUUGGGGGUAUUCGUAUUCCGUUGUCAGAGGUGAAAUUCUUGGAUUUACGGAAGACGAACUACUGCGAAAGCAUUUACCAAGGAUGUUUUCAUUAA
Molecule: ribosomal RNA, 382 nt
Filed under: uncultured eukaryote
Lineage: Eukaryota
Description: partial 18S ribosomal RNA
Rfam family: Eukaryotic small subunit ribosomal RNA
Source: RNAcentral